UAGGGAAUCUUCCGCAAUGGGCGAAAGCCUGACGGAGCAACGCCGCGUGAGUGAUGAAGGUCUUCGGAUCGUAAAACUCUGUUAUUAGGGAAGAACAAAUGUGUAAGUAACUAUGCACGUCUUGACGGUACCUAAUCAGAAAGCCACGGCUAACUACGUGCCAGCAGCCGCGGUAAUACGUAGGUGGCAAGCGUUAUCCGGAAUUAUUGGGCGUAAAGCGCGCGUAGGCGGUUUUUUAAGUCUGAUGUGAAAGUCCACGGCUCAACCGUGGAGGGUCAUUGGAAACUGGAAAACUUGAGUGCAGAAGAGGAAAGUGGAAUUCCAUGUGUAGCGGUGAAAUGCGCAGAGAUAUGGAGGAAAACCAGUGGCGAAGGCGACUUUCUGGUCUGUAACUGACGCUGAUGUGCGAAAGCGUGGGGAUCAAACAGG
Molecule: ribosomal RNA, 429 nt
Filed under: Acidobacteriota bacterium
Lineage: Bacteria; Pseudomonadati; Acidobacteriota
Description: Acidobacteria bacterium partial 16S ribosomal RNA
Rfam family: Bacterial small subunit ribosomal RNA
Source: RNAcentral